CUCCCUCCGCCGUUGCUCGCCUACGUGAGGUGUUCGACGGAAAAUUCCCUUCAACGACGGCAUCACGUGGGCGACCAUGGUGUCUGCAUCCCGCCAGUUAGCGCCCUCCAUAUGCCUGGACGUUGGUCUGAACCUUCUGGCCGGCUACAUAAGCAAGCACUCAGGCAGCUGGAUGGAUUCCGGGCACACAGCUUGCCGUGAACCUUAAAUUGCUGCUCCAACAGGCAGCAAACCAAUCAUUUGAUAUUUAAGGGACAGCAGUCAGCAGGCGCUUUGAGGAAGCACUGGUGUCGGCAAAUAAAAGAAUGCUUUAGGUAUACCUAUUUACCCUUUUCAAUUGGUUUGAUGCCAUCCGUAUGUGAUUCACCGACCAAGAAUGGAAAAAUUCCUUGCUAUUAGAAAUUUCUAUGGUGGUGCUUCUUUAGGUUCCGCCUGAAAAAUG
Molecule: long non-coding RNA, 442 nt
Organism: Triticum dicoccoides
Lineage: Eukaryota; Viridiplantae; Streptophyta; Magnoliopsida; Poales; Poaceae
Exons: 3
Source: RefSeq, a predicted model, not a curated record